Molecule: ribosomal RNA, 496 nt
Filed under: uncultured bacterium
Lineage: Bacteria
Description: partial 16S ribosomal RNA
Rfam family: Bacterial small subunit ribosomal RNA
Source: RNAcentral
AUGAACGCUGGCGGCGUGCCUAAUACAUGCAAGUCGCGCGAACGGACGAGAAGCUUGCUUCUCUGAUGUUAGCGGCGGACGGGUGAGUAACACGUGGAUAACCUACCUAUAAGACUGGGAUAACUUCGGGAAACCGUAGCUAAUACCGGAUAAUAUUUUGAACCGCAUGGUUCAAAAGUGAAAGACGGUCUUGCUGUCACUUAUAGAUGGAUCCGCGCUGCAUUAGCUAGUUGGUAAGGUAACGGCUUACCAAGGCAACGAUGCAUAGCCGACCUGAGAGGGUGAUCGGCCACACUGGAACUGAGACACGGUCCAGACUCCUACGGGAGGCAGCAGUAGGGAAUCUUCCGCAAUGGGCGAAAGCCUGACGGAGCAACGCCGCGUGAGUGAAGAAGGUCUUCGGAUCGUAAAACUCUGUUAUUAGGGAAGAACAUAUGUGUAAGUAACUGUGCACAUCUUGACGGUACCUAAUCAGAAAGCCACGGCUAACUACGUG